UAAAAAGCUCGUAGUUGGAUUUCUGUGGGGACGGAGCGGCCGGCCGCUACUAGCGGUUCGAGCUAGCGCUUUCCCUACAUCCUGCCGCGAACCGCGCUACCAUUAGUUUGGUGGCGCCGGGGAUCGGCUCGUUUACUUUGAGAAAAAUAGAGUGUUCAAAGCAGGCCACACGCCUUGAAUAAGUUAGCAUGGAAUAAUAACUAAGGACUUCGGUUCUAUUUUGUUGGUGUUCGGGACUGAAGUAAUGAUUGAUAGGGACAGUUGGGGCGGUCCGUAUUCCAAAGCGAGAGGUGAAAUUCUUAGACCUUCGGAAGACGAACAGCUGCCAAGGCG
Molecule: ribosomal RNA, 333 nt
Filed under: uncultured marine eukaryote
Lineage: Eukaryota
Description: bacterial SSU rRNA
Rfam family: Eukaryotic small subunit ribosomal RNA
Source: RNAcentral